GAGCAGCUGGACCCAAGGCUGGUGCAGCGGCUGCUGGGGCUGGAGCAGCUGGAGAAGCAGCAGGGCGGGGCUGGGCGGAGGCUGCCGCUGCUCAGCACCCCCCGGCGGGAGCGGGUGGCCCUGCUGCGCCAGCUGGAGGAGACGCGCAGCGAGCUGCAGAAGCUGAAGGAGAGGCAGAAGGAGCUAGAAGCCGCGGCGCUGCUGGACAAGGCCUGUCAGCCCAAGCCCCUGCACCACAGCAAGGCCCCACCCCGGGCCCGGAAACAGGCUGUGGUGCUGCCCCUGCAGCAAGAGCCAGGAUGGAACCCAGGAGUCCUGGCUCC
This is a long non-coding RNA of Terrapene triunguis (Three-toed box turtle), 323 nucleotides long. RefSeq lists it as uncharacterized. The transcript has 3 exons. The record is from RefSeq and is a predicted model, not a curated record. Lineage: Eukaryota; Metazoa; Chordata; Testudines; Emydidae.